Molecule: ribosomal RNA, 507 nt
Filed under: uncultured Glomus
Lineage: Eukaryota; Fungi; Glomeromycota; Glomeromycetes; Glomerales; Glomeraceae
Description: SSU rRNA
Rfam family: Eukaryotic small subunit ribosomal RNA
Source: RNAcentral
AGCAGCCGCGGUAAUUCCAGCUCCAAUAGCGUAUAUUAAAGUUGUUGCAGUUAAAAAGCUCGUAGUUGAAUUUCGGGAUCAGAUUGUCGGUCGUGCCUCGGUACGCACUGGCAUUAUUGGUUCCUACCUUCUGAAGAACCGCGAUGUCAUUAAUUUGGUGUCGUGGGGAAUCAGGACUGUUACUUUGAAAAAAUUAGAGUGUUUAAAGCAGGCGCACGCUUGAAUACAUUAGCAUGGAAUAAUGAAAUAGGACGUUUGAUUCUAUUUUGUUGGUUUCUAGGAUCGACGUAAUGAUUAAUAGGGAUAGUUGGGGGCAUUAGUAUUCAAUUGACAGAGGUGAAAUUCUUGGAUUUAUUGAAGACUAACUACUGCGAAAGCAUUUGCCAAGGAUGUUUUCAUUAAUCAAGAACGAAAGUUAGGGGAUCGAAGACGAUCAGAUACCGUCGUAGUCUUAACCAUAAACUAUGCCGACUAGGGAUCGGAUGAUGUUAAUUUUUUAAUGACUCA